GCUAGUCUUAAAAAAAAAUCAAUAGUUCCAAGCAUUUAUUUUCUUACAGAAAAUAAAUCUUGUUUUCAAAAUCCGUAAUUUUACUGUUUUUCUUGACGUGAUGGUUAUUUGUUGGAAUGCAGCUCUUUUGGAAAAGUUUAAAAAUUGGGUUUUCUGUGUGCCUCCUGUCUCGAUCGAGUUGAAUUCGCUUCGCUUAUUAGCGAUGAAAGUGUCUUUCUAUAUAAGGCACAUUUUAGAUCACUGUUUCUAUAACAAAAUGAAAUUCGUUUUGAUUCUUACGGUAUUCGCGGGACUUUGUUUUGCUGUCAGCCAGGCGGGCUCUCAUCAUUCCAUGUGGGCUGAUUUGAAGCAACUUGAAGAUUGAUAUUAAAAAUUCAAUAAUAUAUACUAUUGUUAUUUCGAUUACAAAUUAGCGAUCAUGUGCUAACAAUAAAACAUUUCUUCAAAGUA
This is a long non-coding RNA of Drosophila willistoni, 450 nucleotides long. RefSeq lists it as uncharacterized. The record is from RefSeq and is a predicted model, not a curated record. NCBI's taxonomy places the organism in Eukaryota, Metazoa, Arthropoda, Insecta, Diptera, Drosophilidae. The transcript has 2 exons.